Molecule: ribosomal RNA, 1464 nt
Filed under: Enterococcus faecium P1137
Lineage: Bacteria; Bacillati; Bacillota; Bacilli; Lactobacillales; Enterococcaceae
Description: bacterial SSU rRNA
Rfam family: Bacterial small subunit ribosomal RNA
Source: RNAcentral
AGAGUUUGAUCCUGGCUCAGGACGAACGCUGGCGGCGUGCCUAAUACAUGCAAGUCGAACGCUUCUUUUUCCACCGGAGCUUGCUCCACCGGAAAAAGAGGAGUGGCGAACGGGUGAGUAACACGUGGGUAACCUGCCCAUCAGAAGGGGAUAACACUUGGAAACAGGUGCUAAUACCGUAUAACAAUCGAAACCGCAUGGUUUUGAUUUGAAAGGCGCUUUCGGGUGUCGCUGAUGGAUGGACCCGCGGUGCAUUAGCUAGUUGGUGAGGUAACGGCUCACCAAGGCCACGAUGCAUAGCCGACCUGAGAGGGUGAUCGGCCACAUUGGGACUGAGACACGGCCCAAACUCCUACGGGAGGCAGCAGUAGGGAAUCUUCGGCAAUGGACGAAAGUCUGACCGAGCAACGCCGCGUGAGUGAAGAAGGUUUUCGGAUCGUAAAACUCUGUUGUUAGAGAAGAACAAGGAUGAGAGUAACUGUUCAUCCCUUGACGGUAUCUAACCAGAAAGCCACGGCUAACUACGUGCCAGCAGCCGCGGUAAUACGUAGGUGGCAAGCGUUGUCCGGAUUUAUUGGGCGUAAAGCGAGCGCAGGCGGUUUCUUAAGUCUGAUGUGAAAGCCCCCGGCUCAACCGGGGAGGGUCAUUGGAAACUGGGAGACUUGAGUGCAGAAGAGGAGAGUGGAAUUCCAUGUGUAGCGGUGAAAUGCGUAGAUAUAUGGAGGAACACCAGUGGCGAAGGCGGCUCUCUGGUCUGUAACUGACGCUGAGGCUCGAAAGCGUGGGGAGCAAACAGGAUUAGAUACCCUGGUAGUCCACGCCGUAAACGAUGAGUGCUAAGUGUUGGAGGGUUUCCGCCCUUCAGUGCUGCAGCUAACGCAUUAAGCACUCCGCCUGGGGAGUACGACCGCAAGGUUGAAACUCAAAGGAAUUGACGGGGGCCCGCACAAGCGGUGGAGCAUGUGGUUUAAUUCGAAGCAACGCGAAGAACCUUACCAGGUCUUGACAUCCUUUGACCACUCUAGAGAUAGAGCUUCCCCUUCGGGGGCACAGUGACAGGUGGUGCAUGGUUGUCGUCAGCUCGUGUCGUGAGAUGUUGGGUUAAGUCCCGCAACGAGCGCAACCCUUAUUGUUAGUUGCCAUCAUUCAGUUGGGCACUCUAGCAAGACUGCCGGUGACAAACCGGAGGAAGGUGGGGAUGACGUCAAAUCAUCAUGCCCCUUAUGACCUGGGCUACACACGUGCUACAAUGGGAAGUACAACGAGUCGCGAAGUCGCGAGGCUAAGCUAAUCUCUUAAAGCUUCUCUCAGUUCGGAUUGCAGGCUGCAACUCGCCUGCAUGAAGCCGGAAUCGCUAGUAAUCGCGGAUCAGCACGCCGCGGUGAAUACGUUCCCGGGCCUUGUACACACCGCCCGUCACACCACGAGAGUUUGUAACACCCGAAGUCGGUGAGGUAACCUUUU